CCUACGGGAGGCAGCAGUGGGGAAUCUUGCGCAAUGGGCGAAGGCCUGACGCAGCAACGCCGCGUGCGGGAUGAAGGCCUUCGGGCUGUAGACCGCUUUCAGCAGGAACGAAAAUGACGGUACCUGCAGAAGAAGGAGCGGCCAACUACGUGCCAGCAGCCGCGGUGACACGUAGGCUCCAAGCGUUGUCCGGAUUUAUUGGGCGUAAAGAGCUCGUAGGCGGUCUAAUGAGUCGGGUGUGAAAACUCUGGGCUCAACCCGGAGACGCCAUCCGAUACUGUUAUGACUUGAGUUCAGGAGGGGAGCGGGGAAUUCCUAGUGUAGCGGUGAAAUGCGCAGAUAUUAGGAGGAACACCGGUGGCGAAGGCGCCGCUCUGGACUGAAACUGACGCUGAGGAGCGAAAGCAUGGGUAGCAAACAGGAUUAGAUACCCUGGUAGUCCAUGCCGUAAACGGUGGGCACUAGGUGUGGGUUUCAACUAACGAAAUCCGCGCCGUCGCUAACGCAUAGUGCCCGCCGCGGGAGGUACGGUCGCGAGACGUAAACGUACUAAUAGUAAGUUAGACGGUCGUUGAGACGNGCCGACGGCGACGACGAGGGAGGAGG
This 606-nucleotide ribosomal RNA is filed under the name uncultured bacterium. RNAcentral's name for it is "bacterial SSU rRNA". The stretch from base 1 to 518 matches the Rfam family "Bacterial small subunit ribosomal RNA", at positions 338 to 873 of the family's 1533-position model. The record is from RNAcentral.